CGUUUCCUACGGGAGGCAGCAGUGGGGAAUAUUGCACAACGGGGGGAACCCUGAUGCAGCGACGCCGCGUGAGUGAAGAAGUAUUUCGGUAUGUAAAGCUCUCUCAGCAGGGAAGAAGAUGACGGUACCUGACUAAGAAGCCCCGGCUUACUACGUGCCAGCAGCCGCGGUAAUACGUAGAGGGCAAGCGUUAUCCGGAUUUACUGGGUGUAAAGGGAGCGUAGACGGCAGGGCAAGUCUGGAGUGAAAGCCCGGGGCCCAACCCCGGGACCGCUUUGGCAA
This 282-nucleotide ribosomal RNA is filed under the name uncultured bacterium. RNAcentral describes it as "partial 16S ribosomal RNA". It matches the Rfam family "Bacterial small subunit ribosomal RNA", at positions 333 to 632 of the family's 1533-position model. The record is from RNAcentral.